UGAGGCUUCUCGAAGGGAGGGGAAUGCCCCUCUUAGAACUCUAGAUCAAGCUGGACUUUUUCUGUGGAGCAGGAGACUUAUGAUUCCAGAUCCCUGGACAAAGCUUCCAGGGCAUGGUCAUGUCUGACUCACAGGAACCCGGUGAAGGGCAGGGCUGCUAUCUGCGGUCCUCCUGCCUCAUAGCUGAGCCUGGGUGUUCAGAGGCUGGCUGGUGAACGAGUCACCUCAGCCAGCCUGUAGUGCGGCUAGCACCAGCAGCAACCUAAGAGCAGCCGAGCUUUGAUUUUUUUUCCCCAGAGCAAAAUUCAUGCUUUCCUGUCCUAAAGGUAGAAGUUUGUUCUACUUCUUCGAACUUGGGAGAUUCGAGUAAACUUCAGCCUUGCCAGAAACAUCCUUCCUCUGGAAAACUCCAGUAGGCCCUCCCUGCUCACCUUCCUCCAUCUACCUCUCUGCUGCAAGAAGUGUAUGUUUGGCUCCUGCACAAGAAAAUGCACUGGCGUUUUUUUACCAGGGAGUGUCUAGUAAUUUCUAAGUGAGUUUCUGAAACCUCCAAGCUAGACUUUUUUUUUUCCUUAAGCAAAUAAAGCCUGAGAGGUGAAGCAUCUUCAAAGAGUUGUGUGCACUCAGCAACUUUGGUGUGUUAGUUUGUCUUUCAAUCUGCCUUACUCAGGGUACUUAUCUCUUAGAAAGGGAGAUUAUUACCCCCAGACUGGGUUGGAAACCGCUUCGCUGACAGGUUUAAGAGUCUUAACAAUUUAUUUACAGCAGAAAAGGCAAAACUGUGCAAAAUGGCAGACUUCAUUCUCCCUGCAAGGGUCAGCUGGGUGGGGAGGGAAGUGGAAUCAAAAUGGGGAACCUCUCAACUGUGCUCAGAAAGGUUGGGCUUCCUGUGGGAGGGAGGUUGGGGUAGGGGUGAACAUUGGCAUUUCCUCCUGAGCAACCAGUUAUCUCCUUGAAUAGAGACAACUGCUAAACUGACAAGCCCUUCACCGGUAACCGUUGAUCUGGCUUAUGACUCAAGACUUAAAAGAACCCUAGAGUUGUCGCAAUUACUCUUCCUGUUUCUCACACCCAGAAAGCUAGACCAAUAAUAGAAUCACGCCGUUGAGUUUCUCCUGACCUUGCUUUUGGUACCCAGUUGAAGAGUCUUUUCCUUGGACGUGGCAGAAUCUGAACUAUGACUAAUACAUACAGAUUUGCAAGAAGAGGACAAGAGAGUGUGUUUAUGUUUCUCUCUCCCUAGCAGCUCCUCCUAGUCUAAUAUAGGGAAGAUACUAGGAGCUCCAUAAAUGUUUGUCAUAUGAUUGAAUGAAUAAAUGGACAAAUACAUUUUCUGUCUCGUUUUAACAGUACUCUGGAGUAUUGGGAGGUGAAAAUACUUCCACAUAUAAAUUUAUUCCUCCUGUUUCUAAUACUGGUAGCAAUAUUUCAAGCUAAUUUAUAACAAAGGAGCAAGUUAGAAU
Molecule: long non-coding RNA, 1463 nt
Filed under: Equus caballus (horse)
Lineage: Eukaryota; Metazoa; Chordata; Mammalia; Perissodactyla; Equidae
Description: lncRNA (ENSECAG00000048801.1)
Source: RNAcentral